UACGGAGGGGACUAGCGUUGUUCGGAAUCAUUGGGCGUAAAGCGCGUGUAGGCGGUCCGGUAAGUCCGCUGUGAAAGCCAGGGGCUCAACCCUUGGAUGCCGGUGGAUACUGUCGGGCUUGAGUACGGAAGAGGCGAGUGGAAUUCCUGGUGUAGCGGUGAAAUGCGCAGAUAUCAGGAGGAACACCGGUGGCGAAGGCGGGACUCUGGGCCGAUACUGACGCUGAGGAGCGAAAGCGUGGGGAGCAAACAGG
Molecule: ribosomal RNA, 253 nt
Filed under: uncultured bacterium
Lineage: Bacteria
Description: partial 16S ribosomal RNA
Rfam family: Bacterial small subunit ribosomal RNA
Source: RNAcentral